GGAGAAGCAGGAUCCAAUAUUGCCAGGGCAGAGCUAUUGACAAUCAGCUGCUUGACUUUGUCAAAGCUCUCCUGCGCAGCAUCCGUCCAUGUGAAAUAGCCGCCUGUCCUGUUUCAGGCGCGCAUAUGCUCGACCUAGAGAGAGUAGUUGCAGACGAAUUUGGAGUACCACCCAGUUAAGCCAAGGUAUGAGUGCAGGGUGGUAGCAUCGGAAGGAGCAGGGGCCUUGUGAAUGGCAGUGACUAAGUAGUAGUCCUUGUGCAGUAAUGGUAUGACAAAGAAAAUUACAUUUUCUUUGUUUAGCAGCAGACCGGCACUCUCCAAGGUGCUGAGAACGGCUUGCAAGUUGCGAUCAUGUUCCUUUUUCGUUUUUCCGUAUAUUACGACGUCAUACAGGUAGGCUUGUGCACAUUGUAUUUUCUGCAGUAGGGAGCACAUCAUCUUUUGAAAAGCAGCAGGAGGCCAAACCGUAGGGGACCCGGUGGAAUCUGAAAAGGUUGUUGUGUGCAGUGGUGGAAAAAGUAACCAAUUGUCAUACUUCAGUAAAAGCCUUAAUAGAAAUUGACUCAAGUGAAAGUCCUCCAGUAAAAUACUACUUGAAUGAACGUGGUACCUUCAGGCGUUUGGAAAUUGCUCCCAAGGAUGAACCAGACUUUUCUUUCUGAUGUCUUGGCUGAUUUCUUUUGAUUUUCCCAUGAUGUCACGCAAAGAGGCACGGAGUUUGAAGGAGCCAGAACGCGUCUCCUUCCUGAGCGGUAUGGCGGCUGCGUGGUCCAAUGGUGUUUAUACUUGCAAACUAUUGUUUGUACAGAUGAACGUGGUACCUUCAGGUGUUUGGAAAUUGCUCCCAAGGAUGAACCAGACUUGUGGAGGUCGACCAUUUCU
This 884-nucleotide long non-coding RNA is filed under the name Salmo salar (Atlantic salmon). RNAcentral's name for it is "lncRNA (ENSSSAG00000100959.1)". Lineage: Eukaryota; Metazoa; Chordata; Actinopteri; Salmoniformes; Salmonidae. The record is from RNAcentral.